UACAAGAGCGACAAUUCCCAAGGAUAUUGGUUCAAGACUAGUUCCAUAUGUACAGAGGAAGUACAUCUAACUGCCACACCUGUUCUCCUCCAGUUCUGUCUUCUAGAAUAUUCUUUCUACUCCAUUUCUUUAAGCUGUUUAUGAAGGCUUGGUUGUUUACUAUUUCUCCAGUGACUCAGCCUCUUUAGCCUUUUGGGGACAUAGGUGCCAGCAGACAAUUUUUCCUGUGGAGAAUUCAGAGGCAAGUGUCUUCUCAUCCUUACAGUCAUAGAGCAGGAGACAGUUGGUGAUACUGAUGAUUUCCCAACCAUAAAGGAGGAGAGAAACUGACAGAAGACCCUGUGGAAAGAGAAGAUGGGAGAUAACAAUGUAUGAACAUUUAAAACACCAUCAGGAAUUGGAUACUCACAUUGCAAACUACAAGACUGAGACCAUGGGUGAAACAAGGAGACCCUAUUCCAAUGGGGCCUUGCAAGUGAUUACAGUGAAAAGGAGUAGAUGAGUACUGACAGCUAUACAAUCUGGUAUCUGAUGGUCUGUCCACAUGUCUGCCAUAAAAUCCACAACUCUCUCUUAUCAUCCAAGUUCUUGCAGGAGUGAAGCUGGUGAGACCCAAUCAAGAGAGUUUGACAGCUUCACCAGGCCUUUGGGCAAGGUGUGGGGGAACCAGCUCUGUGCUCUUGGAAGGGAUAGGGCCUCAGGCCACCCAGACCACAGCACUUGGCACUCCCAUAUUUAAAUUGCUUAGGGCUCCGGGCACCACCACUGCCACAGGAAUAGCAGGCAUGACUGGGAUCACU
This is a long non-coding RNA of Pelodiscus sinensis (Chinese soft-shelled turtle), 800 nucleotides long. RefSeq lists it as uncharacterized. The record is from RefSeq and is a predicted model, not a curated record. Lineage: Eukaryota; Metazoa; Chordata; Testudines; Trionychidae.